RNAcentral lists this ribosomal RNA (465 nucleotides) under uncultured bacterium. Its description in RNAcentral is "partial 16S ribosomal RNA". It matches the Rfam family "Bacterial small subunit ribosomal RNA", at positions 28 to 507 of the family's 1533-position model. The record is from RNAcentral.
GACGAACGCUGGCGGCGUGCUUAACACAUGCAAGUCGAACGGAAAGGCCCUGCUUGCAGUGUACUCGCGUGGCGAACGGGUGAGUAACACGUGGGUGAUCUGCCCUGCACUACGGGAUAAGCCUGUGCAACUGGGUCUAAUACCGGCUAGGAGCUAUUUUUAAUGUGAUGGUUGGAAAGUUUUUUCGGUGUAGGAUGAGCUCGCGGGCUAUCUGCUUGUUGGUGGGGCAAUGGCCUACCAAGGCGGCGGCGGGUAGCCGGACUGCGUGGGUGGACGGCCACACUGAGACUGAGAGGAGGCAGAGACAGCGACGCGAGGGAGCUGUGGGGAAGACUGACGGAGGAGCGCAGGGCGGGUGAAGAGGGGCCGCGUAGGGGAUGACGGUGUUAGGGGUGUAGACCACUUUCGCAAGGAACGAAGCUCGUUGUGACGGUACCUAGAUAGGAAGCCCCGGCUAACUACGUG